RNAcentral lists this long non-coding RNA (316 nucleotides) under Salvia miltiorrhiza (redroot sage). Its description in RNAcentral is "long non-coding RNA (SMIL_LNC009956)". Lineage: Eukaryota; Viridiplantae; Streptophyta; Magnoliopsida; Lamiales; Lamiaceae. The record is from RNAcentral.
GGCUUGUUACCCAUUUCUUCCGCAUUCCUGAGACGACUUUUAAUACAACCUUCCGGAAUUGCAUGUAUAGGCUCUCGUCCCUUUACCGAACCCUUUGGACGACCACGUCCGCGCUUCUGCUCCUAGAGUAACUGCAUCCCCUGAUUAACUUGCUCCUCUAACCUAAUAAUACGACUCGCCAUGUCAUCCGGAGAAGAAAUUGAUUUAUUAUCAAAAUCAACUUCCUUAAUCGGCGAAUUAACCCGCUGGCUCGCUGAAUCUUCUGCCCCAACUACCGGUUGUUGCUCUACUACAGCUCCACUAUUCGUUCCAGAAU